AUACGGAGGGGGCUAGCGUUGUUCGGAAUUACUGGGCGUAAAGCGCACGUAGGCGGAUUAAAAAGUUAGAGGUGAAAUCCCAGGGCUUAACCCUGGAACUGCCUUUAAAACUAGUAGUCUAGAGUUCGAGAGAGGUGAGUGGAAUUCCAAGUGUAGAGGUGAAAUUCGUAGAUAUUUGGAGGAACACCAGUGGCGAAGGCGGCUCACUGGCUCGAUACUGACGCUGAGGUGCGAAAGCUAGGGUAGCGAACGGGAUUAGAAACCCCAGUAGUCC
RNAcentral lists this ribosomal RNA (274 nucleotides) under uncultured bacterium. Its description in RNAcentral is "partial 16S ribosomal RNA". It matches the Rfam family "Bacterial small subunit ribosomal RNA", at positions 523 to 796 of the family's 1533-position model. The record is from RNAcentral.